Long non-coding RNA from Apis florea (little honeybee), 1337 nucleotides. The record is from RefSeq and is a predicted model, not a curated record. NCBI's taxonomy places the organism in Eukaryota, Metazoa, Arthropoda, Insecta, Hymenoptera, Apidae.
UUAUCAGAAAUUAAUAAAUAAAUCACAAUACUCGAGCAGCAAUUAUUCAAUCCUCUUAAUCAGUAAUUUGAUGCUAAUAAGUUUUCAUCUUUCAGAUAUCGUGCGCUGAUAUAUAAUACAUUCGGCUUCGAAUCAGGCGUUUUCACGCAGGUACACCCAGUAUAGACGUCUGUAGGUGCCAGCAAGUUGAAACCUGCACGACCGGCAAGGUCGAGGAACCUAACGCAACCAGCCACCGCCGGCGCGAUAUAAACACCGCCGGGAAUGGAAGAGACAGACCUACCUCUUCAGUUUCGAGAUUGCGAAAAAAAAAAGGAGGAACACAAAGAAAUAAGAACCGACCACGCCAUAAUACCGGGAAAAAUACACUUGCACUGGUCGUGAUCGAGACUUCAUUUCACUCCAGUCUUCUACUUUAUGGCCUUUGUUCAUUUGUCUACAACUUUUCGUCCUAAAAUGGAAAAUCUUUCUCUGUAUAUGAGAUAUGAUUGGAUACUUUUAUAUUUAUAUUGGAUACUUACACUUUUAUAAAUAUAAAUUCAAAUUUUUGAGAUUUAAUAUGGUUUAUGAACUGAAAAUAGAUUAGACAUGCAUUAAAUGUUAAUUGUAUAAUAAAAUAACGAAAUUUUAUAAUUAUGAUGUAAUUAUUUCUAAAAUCUAAAAUUUAUUUUUUUUUUGAAAUAAAAAAGAAAGAAGAAAAUAAGUAUAAAAAAAUUACAUAUUUAAAAUACGAUUUCUUUUGAAAUAAAUGUUUUUAACGUCGAAAAGAUUAUUCUUUGUGAUGAAUACAAAUUGCAACUGAUAAGUACAUCGUUCUAGCGAUGAUGAAUUAUGUUUAAUUAGAAAGACUUCGUAGAAUUGGUGAAGCGUGUACUAUUAGGUAGAGUUUGAAACAAUCGAAAGGAAGCCAGGCGACGAAUUAAUUAAAACAAAGAGCGGCCAAUUAAGCCAACGGCGGGCAACGAUCUCGCGUUGCGCAAGUUCCGUAAUACCGUCAAAACGAGACGGUGCUUUCUCUUGGGAAACUAAGCGGCAACAGAAAAUUGUAUUACCGAAAGUAUAAUGUUACAUAAAUUCGAAAGUUUGAUAACAAAAUGAUGCGUCUUCGCAAAUAUCAAAAAUCGAUGUAACGAUUGGAAUUUCAUGUUUUAAUCGUGUGAAUUCGAUUAUUUAAAUUCAUACAUAUAGUUAAAUUCAAAUUUAAAUAUUUACAUUGAAGUAAACGUCGCUUCAUUCAAUAAUUUAUAAGUUAAAACAAUUGUCAAAUAAACAAACUAUAGUAUUAACUUCGUAAAUUCAAAUGUAUACAAAUAUAGUAAUUUUUAGUUUUAAAACAA